GGAAGUAAAAGUCGUAACAAGGUUUCCGUAGGUGAACCUGCGGAAGGAUCAUUAUCGAGAACAGGGAAGGAAGGAUGGUGAAUGCAAGGACUGUCGCUGGCUUCCCUGAAGCAUGUGCACGUCUUGGCUUUUUCUGUCCACCUUUCUCUUUUUCUAUCUCACACCUGUGCACCUAUUGUAGGGGGGUCUCUCGAAAGAGGGCGAACCCUAUGUUUUUCCAUAUCACACCUGUCGUAUGUUCAUAGAAGGCGUCGUCGUCGGUCUUGAUUGAUUGAUGAUACAUAAAUAUACAACUUUCAGCAACGGAUCUCUUGGCUCUCGCAUCGAUGAAGAACGCAGCGAAUUGCGAUAAGUAAUGUGAAUUGCAGAUUUUCAGUGAAUCAUCGAAUCUUUGAACGCACCUUGCGCUCCUUGGUAUUCCGAGGAGCAUGCCUGUUUGAGUGUCAUUGAUAUUUCUCAACCAUGCAUCUUUUAGGAAGGCGCAUGGCUUGGAGUUGGGGGCUGCUGGUCUGAUCGAUCGGCUCUCCUGAAAUGCAUUAGCAAAGGGCAAGGCUAGUCUUUUGAUGUGCACGGCCUUUCGACGUGAUAGUUCAUCGUCGGGGCUGGAGCAUCAAGUUAUAUAGGACUAUGUCCAUGACCCCCUCUGCUUCCAACAUGAAUCUGGACCAGCUUAGCUAUUAGUUACUAGUGUUUUUCCAUCAUGGAACGCAAACACGAACGCGGCUGGAUGCCACUUCAUUUCUGAAACUUGACCUCAAAUCAGGUAGGACUACCCGCUGAACUUAAGCAUAUCAAUAAGCGGAGGAAAAGAAACUAACAAGGAUUCCCCUAGUAACUGCGAGUGAACCGGGAAGAGCUCAAAUUUUGAAUCUGGCAGUCUUUGGCUGUCCGAAUUGUAAUCUAGAGAAGCGUCUUCCGCGCUGGUCCGUGUACAAGUCUCCUGGAAGGGAGCGUCAUAGAGGGUGAGAAUCCCGUCUUUGACACGGCCGUCCAGUGCUAUGUGAUGCGCUCUCGACGAGUCGAGUUGUUUGGGAAUGCAGCUCAAAAUGGGUGGUAAAUUCCAUCUAAAGCUAAAUACAGGCGAGAGACCGAUAGCGAACAAGUACCGUGAGGGAAAGAUGAAAAGAACUUUGGAAAGAGAGUUAAACAGUACGUGAAAUUGCUGAAAGGGAAACGCUUGAUGUCAGUCGCGUCGGCCGGGGAUCAACCUUGCUUUUCGCUGGGUGUAUUUCCUGGUCGACGGGUCAGCAUCAGUUUCGCUCGCUGUACAAGGGCAGAGGGAACGUGGCACUCCUCGGAGUGUGUUAUAGCCUUUUGUCGUAUGCAGUGGUCGGGACUGAGGAACUCAGCACGGCGUCUCGUCUCGUGCUUUAGGAUGCUGGCAUAAUGGCCUUAAGCGACCCGUCUUGAAACACGGACCAAGGAGUCUAACAUGCCUGCGAGUGUUUGGGUGCGAAACUCGAGCGCGAAAUGAAAGUGAAAGUCGAGACCUCUGUCAUGGAGGGCAUCGAUGCCCGGACCUGAGUCUUUGACGACGGAUCUGCGGUAGAGCAUGCAUGUUGGGACCCGAAAGAUGGUGAACUAUGCCUGAAUA
Molecule: unclassified non-coding RNA, 1594 nt
Filed under: Mycoamaranthus congolensis
Lineage: Eukaryota; Fungi; Basidiomycota; Agaricomycetes; Boletales; Boletaceae
Description: partial contains ITS1, 5.8S rRNA, ITS2 and LSU
Rfam family: Eukaryotic large subunit ribosomal RNA (bases 750-1594)
Source: RNAcentral